CCCCAGGUGCCAUUGGGUGACACUGGGUGCCAUUGGGUGACCCCAGGUGCCAUUGGGUGCCACUGGGUGACCCCAGGUGACCUCAGGUGACCCCAGGUGCCACUGGGUGA
Molecule: long non-coding RNA, 110 nt
Filed under: Numida meleagris (helmeted guineafowl)
Lineage: Eukaryota; Metazoa; Chordata; Aves; Galliformes; Numididae
Description: lncRNA (ENSNMEG00000001882.1)
Source: RNAcentral